AUCAACAUUACACUUUUACACCAACUGCUGGCCGUGACUGUGGAGAGCAGACUGUGGCGCAGAGCUAAAUAAGAAAUGAGAUAAUAAUAACAAAAGCGUAGAAACGUAGAAGUUAAUGCAAGCAAAUAACAACAAUGCGCGCGGACGUCGAAAAGAACAAACACACAUACACAAACACGCUCAUAAACAAACGCCAAAGGAGGCGAAGACCAGGAGGGGGAAAAGGCAAGAAUAAAAUGUUUUGUUGCAUUGCAACAAACAGCAACAGCAACAAUGCAAGUGAUGCGCCGCCAGAAAGAGAUAGAUGCACGAGCAAGAGGAAGCGCAGCAGGAAAAAGGCAGCACCAACACACUGUCACUCACUCACACAGGCAUACAUACAGUCACGUACGCGAUUCUAAACAAGUUGAUGAACUCUACGGCAUCGGUGGAAGAAGAAGAAUGAGCAGCAAAACUAAACAAUUUGUUUCUGGUGCUUUUGUUCGCUUGUAUACUGAGUUAACAUUUAUUUGCUGCAGAUAUGUAUAUCUUGUAGCAUACGUACAUAGGCUAGUUCACACGCACGCACACACACUAGCAGCAGCAGUAGUAGUGUAUUCUCUCUGAACGCGACGGGAAGUGAACGCGAACAAGCGCCAAACUGUUGUUUAUCCGGCGAGUGUUAAGAACUGAAUGAGAAUGAACCAGCAUGGCGAAGAAGAAUUUUACAAGACGCGGAACGAGGAACGGAAACGAACGGGAACGGAACGAACGAACCAAGCCGACAAAAGCGGCCAGCCGAAAAAACUCACUCAACCAGUUUUAGCCAGCGGGAGAGCGAGAGAGACAAAGAACCAGCGAACGGGACCGAGAGAGAGCGGGAAAUCUAGUUUCUGCAGAACGCCACGGGGAAUGGAUUGGCAAUUGGAACGGGUGUUUGUAUGCAUGUACAUACCUACAUACAUGCGGCGAUGAGACUGACCUCUGACAACCUCCUACACUCGCACACGUACAUAUGUAUGCGGCAUAUGUACUCGAACAGAACAUAAAUUGCGCGAGGGAGCAGUGCACUCCAAGUAUUCCGGGCUCUGUAUGUACAUAUGCGAGUGGGAGUGAGCUGCACUUACAAAGAGAGCGGCAAAGGAGACGGCGGCGAUGAAGUCGGAGAAGAAGAAGCACGAACGAAGAACGAAGCGCAGCAGAAGAGCCCGAAAAAGGGCUACAAAGAGCGGAAGCAGUGGAAACCGCGCCACUGGUCGUGGGGUAACUUGUACUAUCUAGCCAUUUUUUGGGGGCUAAGCCCCAUGCAUAGAACCAGUGCAGUGAGUCAAAAGAUUAUCAUCCGCGUUUAUUUUCGGGUUUGUUUCGCAAU
This is a non-coding RNA of Drosophila melanogaster (fruit fly), 1351 nucleotides long. Lineage: Eukaryota; Metazoa; Arthropoda; Insecta; Diptera; Drosophilidae. The record is from Ensembl.